This 619-nucleotide ribosomal RNA is filed under the name Ceratobasidium sp. BUH0009. Its description in RNAcentral is "eukaryotic LSU rRNA". The stretch from base 216 to 368 matches the Rfam family "5.8S ribosomal RNA". Lineage: Eukaryota; Fungi; Basidiomycota; Agaricomycetes; Cantharellales; Ceratobasidiaceae. The record is from RNAcentral.
CUUCCGUAGGGUGAACCUGCGGAAGGAUCGUUAUUGAAUGAAAGUAGAGUUGGUAUUCUCUGGGCCUCUCGGGGGUAUGUGCACUCCUUGUGUUUCAUCCACACUCACGUGGGCGAUAAUGAGACGGUGGGCUUGAGGUAGUUUUCUGUUUAUUCAACCACACAAACUCAUGGUACUUAAAAAGAAGGUAUUUGAUGUAACGCAUCAUUAGAACUAAGUUUCAACAACGGAUAUCUUGGCUCUCGCAUUGAUGAAGAACGCAGCGAAAUGAGAUAAGUAAUAAGAAUCCAGAAUUCAGUGAAUCAUCGAAUCCUUGAACGCACCUUGCGUUCCUGGGUAUUCCAUGGCGCAUCCCCGUUUGAGUAUCAUGAAAUUCUCAAAGUAAAUGAGCGUCAAUUCAUCUGGUUUUGCUUUGGACUUGGAGGUCUUUGCAGAUUUCACGUCUGGUCCUCCUAAAUGCAUUAGCAGGAUCUCAGUAUAUGCUUGGUUCCACUGGGCGUGAUAAGUAUCACUCGGAGUGGCCAGAGUAAAAGGGCGUCAGGAAAUACAGAGGAACCGGUUAUCAUAUUCCAGUAACAAGUCAAUUAAUUUAAGCUCUGAACUCACAUCGGGAGACUCU